Molecule: ribosomal RNA, 253 nt
Filed under: uncultured bacterium
Lineage: Bacteria
Description: partial 16S ribosomal RNA
Rfam family: Bacterial small subunit ribosomal RNA
Source: RNAcentral
UACGUAGGUGGCAAGCGUUGUUCGGAAUUACUGGGCGUAAAGCGCACGUAGGCGGAUUGUUAAGUUAGGGGUGAAAUCCCAGGGCUCAACCCUGGAACUGCCUUUAAUACUGGCAAUCUAGAGUCCGAGAGAGGUGAGUGGAAUUCCGAGUGUAGAGGUGAAAUUCGUAGAUAUUCGGAGGAACACCAGUGGCGAAGGCGAGUCCCUGGACAACUUCUGACGCUGAGGCACGAAAGCUAGGGGAGCAAACAGG